GUCUACGGCCAUACUACCCUGAACACGCCCAAUCUCGUCUGAUCUCGGAAGCUAAGCAGGGUCAGGCCUGGUUAGUACUUAGAUGGGAAUACCGGGUGCCGUAGGCU
RNAcentral lists this ribosomal RNA (107 nucleotides) under Podarcis muralis (Common wall lizard). The record is from RNAcentral. Lineage: Eukaryota; Metazoa; Chordata; Lepidosauria; Squamata; Lacertidae.